GAUGAACGCUAGCUACAGGCUUAACACAUGCAAGUCGCGGGGCAGCAUGGGGGUUGCUUGCAACUCCCGAUGGCGACCGGCGCACGGGUGAGUAACGCGUAUCCAACCUGCCCUUCACCACGGGAUAACCCGGCGAAAGUCGGACUAAUACCGUAUGUUGUCCAUUGACGGCAUCCGAUUUGGACGAAAGGCUUUGCGGUGAAGGAUGGGGAUGCGUCCGAUUAGCCAGACGGCGGGGUAACGGCCCACCGUGGCUACGAUCGGUAGGGGUUCUGAGAGGAAGGUCCCCCACACUGGAACUGAGACACGGUCCAGACUCCUACGGGAGGCAGCAGUGAGGAAUAUUGGUCAAUGGGCGUAAGCCUGAACCAGCCAAGUAGCGUGCAGGAGGACGGCCCUAUGGGUUGUAAACUGCUUUUAUGCGGGGAUAAAGUGGCCCACGUGUGGGCUUUUGCAGGUACCGCAUGAAUAAGGACCGGCUAAUUCCGUG
RNAcentral lists this ribosomal RNA (490 nucleotides) under uncultured bacterium. RNAcentral describes it as "partial 16S ribosomal RNA". It matches the Rfam family "Bacterial small subunit ribosomal RNA", at positions 28 to 507 of the family's 1533-position model. The record is from RNAcentral.